Molecule: ribosomal RNA, 429 nt
Filed under: bacterium
Lineage: Bacteria
Description: partial 16S ribosomal RNA
Rfam family: Bacterial small subunit ribosomal RNA
Source: RNAcentral
UAGGGAAUCUUCGGCAAUGGGGGCAACCCUGACCGAGCAACGCCGCGUGAGUGAAGAAGGUUUUCGGAUCGUAAAGCUCUGUUGUAAGAGAAGAACGUGUGUGAGAGUGGAAAGUUCACACAGUGACGGUAACUUACCAGAAAGGGACGGCUAACUACGUGCCGGCAGCCGCGGUAAUACGUAGGUCCCGAGCGUUGUCCGGAUUUAUUGGGCGUAAAGCGAGCGCAGGCGGUUUAAUAAGUCUGAAGUUAAAGGCAGUGGCUUAACCAUUGUUCGCUUUGGAAACUGUUAAACUUGAGUGCAGAAGGGGAGAGUGGAAUUCCAUGUGUAGCGGUGAAAUGCGUAGAUAUAUGGAGGAACACCGGUGGCGAAAGCGGCUCUCUGGUCUGUAACUGACGCUGAGGCUCGAAAGCGUGGGGAGCAAACAGG